GCAACCUCAAGCUGGCACACGGGAACGUCGUUGUGUUCCGCUCGCUGCUCGGCAUCAGCUGGAUGUGGUUCUUCGGCGCCGUGUUCCUGAGCCAGUUCCCCAGCUUCGCGCGCGACGUGCUG
This is a non-coding RNA of Burkholderiales bacterium, 122 nucleotides long. The record is from Rfam. Lineage: Bacteria; Pseudomonadati; Pseudomonadota; Betaproteobacteria; Burkholderiales.